CCUACGGGUGUCAGCAGUGGGGAAUAUUGGACAAUGGGCGAAAGCCUGAUCCAGCCAUGCCGCGUGUGUGAAGAAGGCCUUCGGGUUGUAAAGCACUUUCAGUGGGGAAGAAAGCCUUGGGGCUAAUACCCUCGAGGAAGGACAUCACCCACAGAAGAAGCACCGGCUAACCCCGUGCCAGCAGCCGCGGUAAUACGGAGGGUGCGAGCGUUAAUCGGAAUUACUGGGCGUAAAGCGCGCGUAGGCGGUCUGAUAAGCCGGUUGUGAAAGCCCCGGGCUCAACCUGGGAACGGCAUCCGGAACUGUCAGGCUAGAGUGCAGGAGAGGAAGGUAGAAUUCCCGGUGUAGCGGUGAAAUGCGUAGAGAUCGGGAGGAAUACCAGUGGCGAAGGCGGCCUUCUGGACUGACACUGACGCUGAGGUGCGAAAGCGUGGGUAGCAAACAGGAUUAGAUACCCCUGUAGUC
Molecule: ribosomal RNA, 465 nt
Filed under: Vreelandella stevensii
Lineage: Bacteria; Pseudomonadati; Pseudomonadota; Gammaproteobacteria; Oceanospirillales; Halomonadaceae
Description: partial 16S ribosomal RNA
Rfam family: Bacterial small subunit ribosomal RNA
Source: RNAcentral